Molecule: RNA transcript, 957 nt
Organism: Solanum pennellii
Lineage: Eukaryota; Viridiplantae; Streptophyta; Magnoliopsida; Solanales; Solanaceae
Exons: 3
Source: RefSeq, a predicted model, not a curated record
UUUUUUCUAUUUUUAUUUUUAUCAAUUUCCUGUUUAAAUCUUUGCAAGUUCACGUUUUUAGUAGUCACAAUCAGUUGGUUAUGUUAUUUUAUUUACAGUUCUUUUAUCGUGUAUUUUUGCUUUUUCAGUAAUUUAUGGUAGAAUUUACACUUUCAUGUUCCUAAUUUCCUGUUAUAUAAUGAUAUAUGUUUCGAAAAUGUAUAUGUACUAGAUCGUGUGAUGUUGUAUUGUAAUGCAUCAGGAGCUUUUUUGUGGGUUAUCGUUCUUUUAGAAUUUGUCACUUUUUUUCUAUUUGUGCAAGUUUGAGCUCCCUAUUUUUAAAGUUAAAUUUUUAUUUUGAAUUUUGAAUUUGACGUGAAAGUUGUAUUGUGAAUGGCUUAGGAAAAUAACAAAGAGAGCCUACAUGUGGAGCAAUGACAACUCGAAAGUGAUUUUAGGAAAAAAACAAAUCAUAUGGCAAGAUGCAAGCACCAGGUGGACAAGCUGAUGGGGAAAAACAACAUGUUCUUGGGAUCACUAGAAACCUUCGGGAUGCUUCAACGGUAUCCGACACGAAGAGUCCAAGCAACAUAGCAAGCAGAAAAAAGGUGUCCCACCAAAUGCAGCUGUACGAAGAAAGCUAUCUGGUUAGUUAGGAGGUGACACUAUUGUUGUGAUAAACCCUGUUGUCGAUAUCAAAAUUCUUCGGAAGAGCCGCUUAAGCACCUCUUGAGCAGAAGAAAAGCAAAUAUCAACUGAAAAUUUUUAAUUCUCCCUCUUUUACCAAGAAUGAAAGAUAUGAAUGCAUUCCCUUGCCUAGAUGAAAUGUAUAGCAAGUAAUAUCAUUAUAUAUAGUUAGAUUGACCGAUCUAUUAUCAGGGUGUUUAUGGAUGUUCAGGAAAAUUGAACAAUCUUAUUCUAGAUGUUGUAAUCCUGUGCAUGACAGUUUAGAUUACAUUUCAAUAUUGACAUUUUAAA